Molecule: long non-coding RNA, 1164 nt
Filed under: Triticum aestivum (bread wheat)
Lineage: Eukaryota; Viridiplantae; Streptophyta; Magnoliopsida; Poales; Poaceae
Description: long non-coding RNA (TAES_LNC007560)
Source: RNAcentral
AAUAUCUCAGCUAUUGGUAGAAUAAUAAUUCCACGGAAGCAGCUGAGUUUACAACUUGUCAACUAGGCAACCAUGUCUCACAAAUAACAACCCUAAACUGGAUGAUAACAACAGUACAUUUAUAAAACAUGAUUUCAAAGCUAAGAAUAUUACAAGCAGCAAAUCAUACAGAGCACACUUUCUUACAGACUGUUCCAAUAAUAAAUAUAUACACACAGAUUGACAAUCCAAGCCACGCAGCAGGAGUUAAAUCUCUUCUGUUAUUUUCUUUGCUUACUUAAAACACCAAACGAGAAGCACAUCAAAAGGACUGACGCCCUUCCAAGAUGAAACGGACACGGGUAAGAAAGCAUUGGCAUAUAGUAUACCCUAAUUGAAAGGCACAUGAUCGCAGGGUACUCAGAAAGGCCGUUCUUCAUUCUGUAGAUCAGACAGGGUCGUUCGUUGUUGAGAUCAGACCCAGUGUGGCGUCAGAAAGCGGCGUUCGGUUUGCUAGUGAGUUCCACUGGUUGUGCCGUGGCCACUGCUGACCGAGCCCCAGUUAGUUUCUCCACCUCCCAUCUGCACGGCAAUGCUGUCCAUCGACUCUGAGGUCCCACUUCUGUGACCCCAGCUUGAUCGUCUCGAAUGCAUACCAGCCCUACCUUCCAUGAGCUCAACUGGAAGGGCUUCUCUGCUGAGAUCAGGUGACGCAUGGGUUAUUCUGCCUUCUUUCUCAUCCAACAUGCCCCCAACUUCUAAAUCUCUUAUAUCAGCUCCUGACCGAGGUUCGUCCCAUGAUACUGGCUUCCUGCCCAAUUCAAGGUCUCCAACAGGUUUGCCCAUGUUUGGGCUCAUGAAGCCCCUGGUUGGUGGGCGUGAUUGCUGUAAACCUUGCUCUACUGGGACCCUAGCUCGGAAAUAAUUCUUGGAAGCGGGGACAGCAGUGCAGAAGAUCUCCAGAAAGUUGUUCACCACACCUACAUUAUAUGGGUUAGCCCGCCGGUCGUACCGAUACCUGAAGUUCUCGUAAGUAGUCUGCAAAGGUGAAAGAUUGGAUGAUUACCAAGUUGCGACAAAAUGCUUUAAAUAUCAGAAGUUUUAAAACAGAGGAAAGGGAAGCAACCUGGUUGGUGCUCAUCAGGUAGAAAUGGAAGACAGAAAGACCACCAACAAACCACACAC